GAUGAAGAACGCAGCGAAAUGCGAUAAGUAGUGUGAAUUGCAGAAUUCAGUGAAUCAUCGAAUCUUUGAACGCACAUUGCGCCCCUUGGUAUUCCAUGGGGCAUGCCUGUUCGAGCGUCAUUUGUACCUUCAAGCUCUGCUUGGUGUUGGGUGUUUGUCUCGCCUUUGCGUGUAGACUCGCCUUAAAACCAUUGGCAGCCGGCGUAUUGAUUUCGGAGCGCAGUACAUCUCGCGCUUUGCACUCAGAACGACGACGUCCAAAAGUACAUUUUUACUCUCUUGACCUCGGAUCAGGUAGGGAUACCCGCUGAACUUAAGCAUAUCAAUAAGCGGAGGA
RNAcentral lists this unclassified non-coding RNA (337 nucleotides) under soil metagenome. Its description in RNAcentral is "partial contains 5.8S ribosomal RNA, internal transcribed spacer 2, and large subunit ribosomal RNA". The stretch from base 1 to 120 matches the Rfam family "5.8S ribosomal RNA", at positions 35 to 154 of the family's 154-position model. The record is from RNAcentral.